GAUGAACGCUGGCGGCGUGCCUAAUACAUGCAAGUCGAGCGAACGGACGAGAAGCUUGCUUCUCUGAUGUUAGCGGCGGACGGGUGAGUAACACGUGGAUAACCUACCUAUAAGACUGGGAUACCUUCGGGAACCCGGAGCUAAUACCGGAUGAUAUUUUGAACCGCAUGGUUCAAAAGUGAAAGACGUUCUUGUGGUCAUUUAUGGAUGGAUCCGCGCUGCAUUAGCUAGUUGGUAAGGUAACGGCUUACCAAGGCAACGAUGCAUAGCCGACCUGAGAGGGUGAUCGGCCACACUGGAACUGAGACACGGUCCAGACUCCUACGGGAGGCAGCAGUAGGGAACCUUCCGCAAUGGGCGAAAGCCUGACGGAGCAACGCCGCGUGAGUGAUGAAGGUCUUCGGAUCGUAAAACUCUGUUAUUAGGGAAGAACAUAUGUGUAAGUAACUGUGCACAUCUUGACGGUACCUAAUCAGAAAGCCACGGCUAACUACGUG
Molecule: ribosomal RNA, 497 nt
Filed under: uncultured bacterium
Lineage: Bacteria
Description: partial 16S ribosomal RNA
Rfam family: Bacterial small subunit ribosomal RNA
Source: RNAcentral